This 266-nucleotide long non-coding RNA is filed under the name Lathyrus oleraceus (garden pea). RNAcentral describes it as "Pisum sativum (pea) long non-coding RNA (PSAT_LNC038158)". Lineage: Eukaryota; Viridiplantae; Streptophyta; Magnoliopsida; Fabales; Fabaceae. The record is from RNAcentral.
AAGGAAAAGAAAAGGGGUCGCAAAAAAGAUUUUAUUAGGGUGCUUGACGAGAUUGCGGGUCUCGCUCCUACGUAUUCUUGGGUACAAUGAGACACUUAAAGCUUCGUAGUUCGGGGGGAAGACUACGGUUUGUUGGUUUGUGUUUUUUAAUGAACUAAUGUUUAGAUCAUGUUCUAAGGGUUAAACAUUGGUCUGUCUACUCUCGUGGAGGCUUGAGCACUAGUUUGUAUACACAUUAGAAAGGACUAAACAAUGUUCUUUUUGAA